This 420-nucleotide ribosomal RNA is filed under the name uncultured eukaryote. RNAcentral's name for it is "partial 18S ribosomal RNA". It matches the Rfam family "Eukaryotic small subunit ribosomal RNA", at positions 1470 to 1796 of the family's 1831-position model. The record is from RNAcentral.
CCCUUAGUUAUCCUAGGUCGCACGCGCCAUACAAUGUGGCGCACAACGAGUCUCCUUGGCCGACAGGAUGUCCCGCGAGCGAUCGGCGACGCAGCCAGCUCGGUCUUCGGGCAGACUCGGUGAGAGUGGCCCGUCCUCCUGAGAGGGCGAUCGUCGAUGCCUCGGGAUUCUGGGUAAUCUGGCAGAGCGCUACGUGACUGGGCUAGACUUUUGUAAUUUUUGGUCUUGAACGAGGAAUGCCUAGUAAUCGCAGGUCAGCAUCCUGCGAUGAUUCGGUCCCUGCCCUUUGUACACACCGCCCGUCGCUCCAUCCGUGGCAUGCGCCGGUGAAGAGGGGGAGGCAGCGUCGGCCGUGUAACAGCGGAUCGUACGUGGAACCCCUCUGAACCUUCGCACGUAGAGGAAGGAGAAGUCGUAACA